This is a long non-coding RNA of Theobroma umbraticum, 335 nucleotides long. RefSeq lists it as uncharacterized. The record is from RefSeq and is a predicted model, not a curated record. NCBI's taxonomy places the organism in Eukaryota, Viridiplantae, Streptophyta, Magnoliopsida, Malvales, Malvaceae.
UGAAGCUGGAGACUUGAAGGAAGAAGAAAAAGGAAUCAGGUGAAGGAGUUGUCGUCUAAGAGAAGAAAAGCUUUGAAUGGUUAAUUUGUGCACCAACCCGAACCUAUAUACGGUUUUCUUUAGAGAGUUUAAGGCUUUCCAAACCAAAACCUAAAGGCUGAAAAUUUCAUGUUGGAUUUGAUGCCUUGGGCUAAUGAAGUGUUAGAACUAUGCCUUGGAUGAAUUAAGCUGCCCACGAGAAAAGAGAUUGCUGAAAAUCUGCCCAACCUGAGGCAUAAAAAGAAUUGAGUGUUGAUUGAGCUGAAUAACAAAAGAUUAAAGAGGUCAGAAUGUGG